CUCCCUAACAGGAAGUUUCUCCUAGCAAGGUGUCCAUAUGCUCUAAUGAGCUCCAUGCUGGGGCAGGGAGGUUGUUGAGCUUAUUGCCAAGAUAAGGCCUUGGUCUGGGGGAAGAAUAGAGCAAAGAAGCAUUGUGGAGUGUAUGUGCUUGAUAAUCAACUGACACCUUAUUUCUGUGUGUGUGAAAGGAGCACUGAGGAGGCAGGAGAGAGAAGAAGAGGGGAUGUAGGAAAGGGUGAGUAGGAACGGGAAGUGGAUCUUUCCAGUGUCUCCUUAAACAUCUCUUGUAUAAGUUUCAGGUUAAUAUAAUCUCAGAUGCAUCCUUCCACCAUAGAAUUCCAAACUCCACUUGGAAAAUAAAAAUGAUUAUGAAGCAGGUGGUAAAUCUGACUGCCUAAUUCCCAUGGGGACACAAUUAACUGCUUUUGGAAAUCCAAACGCUCUGUCUAGUUCAGAAGGAUUCUCUCCACUAUGAAAGACCAUGUCAAACUCAACCCAUGACCAGUCUGCUGAAUGCAAGUUUUUCCGGCUAGGAAACAUCUUUUUAGACUUCAUGGUUGUGAACAUGACUUUUAAAUAAGCCCAUGCUUACAGUAUAAUAACUGAGUAAGGGGACUUGGUUUCACUAUUGUUGCAAUUGGUAGCAUAGAGGGUGACCUACUCUGGUUUAAAAAUCUGAAUGACCAGAAACAUUACCCUGGUAACAGGGAUGCUGUUUAGAAACUUGUACUAUAACAGCAUCCCCACUACUGUGAUAAAAGCCUUAAACUGUCUGGGAUUUUAAGCCAGUUACUUGGAUAUGGUUUGGUCACAUCUAUACUAACUAGGAACCUGGCUAGUGUAGUCGUAGCCCAAGUUCUAGAGCCAGAAACCCUUCUUCUGAUAUUACAAUGGUGUAACUCCACAAAGUUGAAUUGCUCCUGAUUUACACUAGUGAGAUCAGAACCAGGUCCACAAUAUGUCAAAACAAUCCUAUCAAGUCUCAGACAUACAUUUCUGCCACAUACAAAUAGUUCAUGAUGGCUUUGGCAUUCCUCUAAGUAGAGUUACUUAAAUUAAAGACUGAAAAAACAAAUACACUAUCUUGGAACUGAAUGGUAAUUAGUAAGCUACCACUGAAAACAGCCAUGAUAAAUAGCUAUUAAAAUGAGCAUUACAAAAAAAAUUCUUAGAAGCCUGCUCUGCAUCGUUACUAUAGGCUAUAAUUAAC
Mauremys mutica (yellowpond turtle) is the source of this 1210-nucleotide long non-coding RNA. RefSeq lists it as uncharacterized. The transcript has 3 exons. The record is from RefSeq and is a predicted model, not a curated record. Lineage: Eukaryota; Metazoa; Chordata; Testudines; Geoemydidae.